UGCCAGCCGCCGCGGUAAGACCGAGGGUGCAAACGUUGCUCGGAAUUACUGGGCGUAAAGCGCGUGUAGGCGGACGGGAAAGUCGGGUGUGAAAUCCCUGGGCUCAACCCAGGAACUGCAUCCGAAACUAUUCGUCUUGAGUACUGGAGAGGGAAGCGGAAUUCCUGGUGUAGAGGUGAAAUUCGUAGAUAUCAGGAGGAACACCGGUGGCGAAGGCGGCUUCCUGGACAGUUACUGACACUGAGGUGCGAAAGCGUGGGGAGCAAACAGGAUUAGAUA
RNAcentral lists this ribosomal RNA (279 nucleotides) under uncultured bacterium. RNAcentral describes it as "partial 16S ribosomal RNA". It matches the Rfam family "Bacterial small subunit ribosomal RNA", at positions 506 to 784 of the family's 1533-position model. The record is from RNAcentral.